Molecule: non-coding RNA, 135 nt
Organism: Triticum aestivum (bread wheat)
Lineage: Eukaryota; Viridiplantae; Streptophyta; Magnoliopsida; Poales; Poaceae
Source: Rfam
CAACUACUCCCUUUGUCCCAAAUUUCUUUUCUUCGAUUUGUCUAGAUACGGAUGUAUCUAAUACUAAAAUGUGACUUGAUACAUACCUAUCUAGACAAAUCUAAGACAAGAAUUUUGGGACGGAGGGAGUACUUU